Molecule: long non-coding RNA, 1593 nt
Organism: Balaenoptera acutorostrata (minke whale)
Lineage: Eukaryota; Metazoa; Chordata; Mammalia; Artiodactyla; Balaenopteridae
Exons: 3
Source: RefSeq, a predicted model, not a curated record
CCCACCCUGCGUGGCGGCUUGCGGACUUGCCGCGUUAAGGUCGGGUUGGAGGAAAUAGUCAGCCUGCGGUGUGUGUCUAAAGUGAAAGACGCGUCAGCAAUAAUGAGGCCCUAACCCCUGCCGGCCGGGCGGCCUCCCCAGCGCCCUCCCCGAAACUGUUUCGUUAGCUGAGUGUUUUUUUUUUUUUAAUAUUUAUUUGGCUGCACCGGGUUUUAGCUGCGGCGCACGGGAUCUUCCUUGCUGCAUGCGGGAUCUUUAGUUGCGGCAUGUGAGAAUCUACUUCCCUGACCAGGGAUCAAACCCCGGCGCCCUGCAUUGGGAGUGGGGAGUCUUAGACACUGGACCACUAGGGAGGAUGGCCUGACUGACGUUUUCAACUGAGGUAACCAGCUGGCGUUAGCAGAACAAAUCCCUCCCCGUCUCUCCCUGAGGAGGCCAUCCAUCCUGAGGAACCAGCUGGAGGGAGCCAAGAUAAGUCCAAAGUGAAAUGUUUUUGGAGAGCCCACACAGGCAUGAAGAAGCCACGCAGAGCCUGGAGUGUGGUGCUGGAGAGGGUAGAGAGGUCAGCCAAAGCUGCGCCUUGCAGAACGUGGCCCACCUCUUCAUGAGAGAGGAUGCUGCUGCUCCGGAACCGCACAAACUGGCCCAGGGAGAGAAGCCCCAGACAUGUAGUGAUUUGGCAUCUCCUUCAUUCACAGAUAUUUGCUGUGCCCUGCCGGGCUCAGCACUGGGCUGGGGGCAUGGAUCUGAAGCCCACAGAACUCUGCCUUCAAGAGCUCAGUGUUGGUAGGCAGGGGUGGGGUUGUGUCACAGGAGAGUGAGGUAAUGAGGAUUGCAAGACCCUGAGAGUUUGGUCUGCUGACCCCUUCAGUCCCCCACUCCCACCCUGCCCCUCACACUAGACUAUGUGUGGUUACCCAGACACACCACCACAUGCUCAUAUACUUGCUGUUCUCACUUCAAUACUGUACCUGCAAUACUUUUCCUUCUCUUUGCCUAUUAAUCCUUCAAGCCUCAGCUAAAAUGUUACCUUCACUGCUGAAUGUUUUCAUUUUAUUAAAGAAAUACAGGCAUUAACUGGGUGCUUACUAUAUUCUUACUCACUUCUCCCUCCCAGCUCUGGCAGAAGCAAUUACUCUUUUCUCUGGGUUCCUACACCAACCAUUGAUUUAUUCAUUGAUCCACUUCACUAUCAUUCACAGGCUCGCUGCCUUUAUUCAGUGGGCACUUACCAUGUUCUAGGCACUUAGCAUUAUCUUCUACUCUUCCAUUAAUAACAUCAUAUUUUAACUAUUAAUUUCCUUGUCUACCUCCUUCUCUAGACUGAGGGACCUUUAAGGCAGAACAUUUGGCUCACUGACGUCUUUGGUACCUAGCACAGGAUCUGGCAGGUGGUGGGCAGGGCCUGGUCAAUGUUUCAUGAGUGAAUGAGAAAGAAUGUCUGGGUAGUCUGGGCAGAGGAGAUGUGGGCAUUCAGAGGAAUUCUCUAGGCAGGCUUCUUGUAGGGUGAAGGCUCAUCCAGCUCCUCUACCUUCUUGGAGGAUGACAUUCUUCAGACCACAGGACCAUCCUUUCUGCACUUACCAGGGUCAU